RNAcentral lists this long non-coding RNA (870 nucleotides) under Mus musculus (house mouse). RNAcentral describes it as "Egfr long non-coding downstream RNA". The record is from RNAcentral. Lineage: Eukaryota; Metazoa; Chordata; Mammalia; Rodentia; Muridae.
GGCCGAGAGUUUGAGCGCCAAGGCUCUCUCUCCCCAGGGGACUCUGCAACCUGACUAGGUGCUCCUUCCCUGAGGUGUGUGCUCGACAAAGGUUGCUGAAAAAGUUCACGUUGAAAUUUUUUUUGAUGAUAAUAUCGUGUUACUCAUUUCCUUUGUUUCUUAGCAUAGUAACAUUCCAGGGAGCUGCCCGGGGAAGCUUAACGCUCGAUGCGGGUGGUAGGAAUGUAUCAUGGUGGGAGAGUCAUGGCAGCAGGCAGCUGGAACAGGACACUAAGUAAGAACACCUUCAACUACAAGCAGAAGUCAAGGAGAACUGAAAGUGCUAAUGGAGCUGUGAGAGUUCCUCUUUCAAACUUUGUCCAGACUACCAUACCAGCCAAGAUUCUUCUGAUCCUCUCACCGCCCACAUGCUAACUCCUGCCAGGAAACAGCCAAGAAACCUAUAAAGGCUGUCCAGGGAUCAUGAGGACUUCCUACCAGCUAAGCCACAGCCUUGUCCUCAGGUUACAGCCUCUGUGGGUGGCAGUAGGGGUGGCUUUUUGUUUUGUUUUGUUUUCUGCAGGGUCCCUGAAGUCAGCUCUGGAAAACUGAGAAGAGUGCUGCGUGCAGAAUGCUUCGCUGGAUGUUUUUUUCCUCUAUUCUCACAGACAACUGGAACCUUGAGAGCCAAGGGAGAUUGUGGAGAGGAUGUGAGCAGAUGGCCGCUGAGGAUAGCUGACCGGGUGGGUGGGCUGGAACCUAGGCCAGGACCUGCCACCUGAGGAUUGUGCCUGCGAUGUCCAUAUGAUUGUGAACAGCUAAACAGGGAGCUCUGCUCUGUUGAAAAUCAUAAAGUUGAAAAUGAAAAGAGAUAAAACCUUAAGCACAGAA